AAUAGUUCAUUAGGGUACGAGAAUUUUAGAAAAGAAUUUGGGAAGUUAAAUGAGGCAUAAAUCUUAAAUUAGUGUUAAUAUGGACUAUAGAUCUAAGACUUUCUAACUCUUUAAAUUAGAGUUAUUUAUUUUAAUGUAAAAUUAAUAUAUAGUAUUGUGAAAUAAUUAUGUAGAUUAUAUUGACAAAGAUAGUGGUGAAAAAGGAGUUGUGAAGGGGAACUUGUUAUUCAAGACACAAGGAGCGAGUCCGGCCGAGAAAGCACCAGAGGUGUAACUAUGGUGUAUGAGACACCAUCUUUUACGUUGCCUCUUAUUUUGGAUUAUACAAUGUAUCUUGUGCCAACUUAGGACAUAUCUUCUUUGUGAAGCAUGUAAACUCUAAUCCUUUUUAUUAAAAGUAUUUAUAUGACCAAGAGGAUUAUGUCUGUCCCUCUUGAUUCAUGACCUGAUUUAAAUAUCAUGCCAUGAGGAUCCUGUCUGUCCCUCAUGGUUCUAAUUGUUUUUUUUUGAGAUAUUUUAAGACUUGUGGUAUAUUGUCUUGGAUGUACCAUGGUAGAAAUUUUUCUACCAUGAUAAGGGUAUGAUGAGGGUUCAAUGAAAAAAAAUGAUUUAUUGAAUUAA
Prosopis cineraria is the source of this 621-nucleotide long non-coding RNA. RefSeq lists it as uncharacterized. The transcript has 2 exons. The record is from RefSeq and is a predicted model, not a curated record. NCBI's taxonomy places the organism in Eukaryota, Viridiplantae, Streptophyta, Magnoliopsida, Fabales, Fabaceae.